AUUCUUGGAUUUCUGGUGGAGACCAUUUCUUGGUCAAAAAUCCGUAGGUGUUAGCCUUCGGUAUUAUUGAAAAUGGUCGUUCAUGGCUAUUUUCGAUAAAAAUGGGGGUUGUGUGGCCAUUGAUCAUCGACCAGACGCUCAUACACCUCACCCCACAUAUGUUUCCUUAUCAUAGAUCACAUUCUUGGAUUUCUGGUGGAGACCAUUUCUUGGUCUAAAAUCCAUAGGUGUUAGCCUCUAGUAUUAUUGAAAAUGGUCGCUCAGGGCUAUUUUCAAGGUCGCUCAUGGCUAUUUUCAUAAAAAAUGGGGGUUGUGUGGCCAUUUAUCAUCGACUAGAGGCUCAUAAACCUCGCCCCACAUAUGUUUCCUUGCCAUAGAUCACAUUCUUGGAUUUCUGGUGGAGACCAUUUCUUGGUUAAAAACUCGUACGUGUUAGCCUUCGGUAUUAUUGAAAAUGGUCGUUCAUGGCUAUUUUCGGCAAAAUGGGGGUUGUGUGACCAUUCAUUAUCGACCAGAGGCUCGUACACCUCACCCCACAUAUGUUUCCUUGCCAUAGAUCACAUUCUUGGAUUUCUGGUGGAGACCAUUUCUUGGUCAAAAAUCCGUACGUGUUAGCCUUUGGUAUUUUUGAAAAUGGUCAUUCAUGGCUAUUUUCGACAAAAAUGGGGGUUGUGUGGCCAUUGAUCUUCGACCAGAGGCUCAUACACCUCACUACACAUAUGUUUCCUUGCCAUAGAUCACAUUCUUGGAUUUAUGGUGGAGACCAUUUCUUGGUCAAAAAUCCGUAGGUGUUAGCCUUCAGUGUCAUUGAAAAUGGUCGUUCAUGGCUAUUUUCGACAAAAAUUAGGGUUGUGUGGCCAUUGAUCGUCGACCAGAGGCUCAUACACCUCACCCCACAUAUGUUUCCUUGCCAUAGAUCACAUUCUUGGAUUUCUGGUGGAGACCAUUUCUUGGUCAAAAAUCCGUAGGUGUUAGCCUUCGGUAUUAUUGAAAAUGGUCGUUCAUGGCUAUUUUCGACAAAAAUGGGGGUUGUGUGGCCAUUGAUCAUCGACCAGACGCUCAUACACCUCACCCCACAUAUGUUUCCUUGCCAUAGAUCACAUUCUUGGAUUUCUGGUGGAGACCAUUUCUUGUUCUAAAAUCCGUAGGUGUUAGCCUCUAGUAUUAUUGAAAAUGGUCGCUCAUGGCUAUUUUCAAGGUCGCUCAUGGCUAUUUUCAUAAAAAAUGGGGGUUGUGUGGCCAUUUAUCAUCGACUAGAGGCUCAUAAACCUCACCCCACAUAUGUUUCCUUGCCAUAGAUUACAUUCUUGGAUUUCUGGUGGAAACCAUUUCUUGGUUAAAAACUCGUACGUGUUAGCCUUCGGUAUUAUUGAAAAUGGUCAUUCAUGGCUAUUUUCGGCAAAAUGGGGGUUGUGUGGCCAUUGAUCAUCAACCAGAGGCUCGUACACCUCACCCCACAUAUGUUUCCUUGCCAUAGAUCACAUUCUUGGAUUUCUGGUGGAGACCAUUUCUUGGUUAAAAAUCCGUACGUGUUAGCCUUUGGUAUUUUUGAAAAUGGUCAUUCAUGGCUAUUUUCGACAAAAAUGGGGGUUGUGUGGCCAUUGAUCAUCGACUAGAGGCUCAUACACCUCACCCCACAUAUGUUUCCUUGCCAUAGAUCACAUUCUUGGAUUUCUGGUGCAGACAUUUCUUGGUCAAAAAUCCGUAGGUGUUAGCCUUCGGUAUUAUUGAAAAUGGUCGUUCAUGGCUAUUUUCGACAAAAAUGGGGGUUGUGUGGCCAUUGAUCAUCGACCAGACGCUCAUACACCUCACCCCACAUAUGUUUCCUUGCCAUAGAUCACAUUCUUGGAUUUCUGGUGGAGACCAUUUCUUGGUCUAAAAUCCGUAGGUGUAACCUCUAGUAUUAUUGAAAAUGGUCGCUCAUGGCUAUUUUCAAGGUCGCUCAUGGCUAUUUUCAUAAAAAAUGGGGGUUGUGUGGCCAUUUAUCAUCGACUAGAGGCUCAUAAACCUCACCCCACAUAUGUUUCCUUGCCAUAGAUUACAUUCUUGGAUUUCUGGUGGAAACCAUUUCUUGGUUAAAAACUCGUACGUGUUAGCCUUCGGUAUUAUUGAAAAUGGUCAUUCAUGGCUAUUUUCGGCAAAAUGGGGGUUGUGUGGCCAUUGAUCAUCGACCAGAGGCUCAUACACCUCACCCCACAUAUGUUUCCUUGCCAUAGAUCACAUUCUUGGAUUUCUGGUGGAGACCAUUUCUUGGUCGAAAAUCCGUAGGUGUUAGCCUUCGGUAUUAUUGAAAAUGGUCGUUCAUGGCUAUUUUCGACAAAAAUGGGGGUUGUGUGGCCAUUGAUCAUCGACUAGAGGCUCAUACACCUCACCCCACAUAUGUUUCCUUGCCAUAGAUCACAUUCUUGGAUUUCUGGUGGAGACCAUUUCUUGGUCAAAAAUCCGUAGGUGUUAGCCUUCGGUAUUAUUGAAAAUGGUCGUUCAUGGCUAUUUUUGACAAAAAUGGGGGUGUGUGGCCAUUGAUCAUCGACCAGAUGCUCAUACACCUCACCCCACAUAUGUUUCCUUGCCAUAGAUCACAUUCUUGGAUUUCUGGUGGAGACCAUUUCUUGGUCUAAAAUCCGUAGGUCUUAGCCUCUAGUAUUAUUGAAAAUGGUCGCUCAUGGAUAUUUUCAUAAAAAAUGGGGGUUGUGUGGCCAUUUAUCAUCACCUAGAGGCUCAUAAACCUCACCCCACAUAUGUUUCCUUGCCAUAGAUCACAUUCUUGGAUUUCUAGUGGAGACCAUUUCUUGGUUAAAAACUCGUACGUGUUAGCCUUCGGUAUUAUUGAAAAUGGUCGUUCAUGGCUAUUUUCGGCAAAAUGGGGGUUGUGUGGCCAUUGAUCAUCGACCAGAGGAUCAUACACCUCACCCCACAUAUGUUUCCUUGCCAUAGAUCACAUUCUUGGAUUCCUGGUGGAGACCAUUUCUUGGUCAAAAAUCCAUACGUGUUAGCCUUUGGUAUUUUUGAAAAUGGUCAUUCAUGGCUAUUUUCGACAAAAAUGGGGGUUGUGUGGCCAUUGAUCAUCGACUAGAGGCUCAUACACCUCACCCCACAUAUGUUUCCUUGCCAUAGAUCACAUUCUUGGAUUUCUGGUGGAGACCAUUUCUUGGUCAAAAAUCCGUAGGUGUUAGCCUUCGGUAUUAUUGAAAAUGGUCGUUCAUGGCUAUUUUCGACAAAAAUGGGGGUUGUGUGGCCAUUGAUCAUCGACCAGACGCUCAUACACCUCACCCCACAUUUGUUUCCUUGCCAUAGAUCACAUUCUUGGAUUUCUGGUGGAGACCAUUUCUUGGUCUAAAAUCCGUAGGUGUUAGCCUCUAGUAUUAUUGAAAAUGGUCGCUCAUGGCUAUUUUCAAGGUCGCUCAUGGCUAUUUUCAUAAAAAAUGGGGGUUGUGUGGCCAUUUAUCAUCGACUAGAGGCUCAUAAACCUCACCCCACAUAUGUUUCCUUGCCAUAGAUUACAUUCUUGGAUUUCUGGUGGAAACCAUUUCUUGGUUAAAAACGCGUACGUGUUAGCCUUCGGUAUUAUUGAAAAUGGUCAUUCAUGGCUAUUUUCGGCAAAAUGGGGGUUGUGUGGCCAUUGAUCGUCGACCAGAGGCUCAUACACCUCACCCCACAUAUGUUUCCUUGUCGUAGAUCACAUUCUUGGAUUUCUGGUGGAGACCAUUUCUUGGUCAAAAAACCGUAGGUGUUAGCCUUCGAUAUUAUUGAAAAUGGUCGUUCAUGGCUAUUUUCGACAAAAAUGGGGGUUGUGUGGCCAUUGAUCAUCGACCAGAGGCUCAUACACCUCACCCCACAUAUGUUUCCUUGCCAUAGAUCACAUUCUUGGAUUUCUGGUGGAGACCAUUUCUUGGUCAAAAACUCGUACGUGUUAGCCUUCGGUAUUAUUGAAAAUGGUCGUUCAUGGCUAUUUUUGGCAAAAUGGGGGUUCUGUGGCCAUUGAUCUUCGACCAGAGGCUCGUACACCUCACCCCACAUAUGUUUCCUUGCCAUAGAUCACAUUCUUGGAUUUCUGGUGGAGACCAUUUCUUGGUCAAAAAUCCGUAGGUGUUAGCCUUCGGUAUUAUUGAAAAUUGUCGUUCAUGGCUAUUUUCGGCAAAAUGGGGGUUCUGUGGCCAUUGAUCAUCGACCAGAGGCUCGUACACCUCACCCCACAUAUGUUUCCUUGCCAUAGAUCACAUUCUUGGAUUUCUGGUGGAGACCAUUUCUUGGUCAAAAAUCCGUAGGUGUUAGCCUUCGGUAUUAUUGAAAAUGGUCGUUCAUGGCUAUUUUCGACAAAAAUGGGGGUUGUGUGGCCAUUGAUCAUCGACCAGAGGCUCAUACACCUCACCCCACAUAUGUUUCCUCGCCAUAGAUCACAUUCUUGGAUUUCUGGUGGAGACCAUUUCUUGGUCAAAAAUCCGUAGGUCUUAGCCUCUAAUAUUAUUGAAAAUGGUCGCUCAUGGCUAUUUUCGGCAAAAUGGGGGUUCUGUGGCCAUUGAUCGUCGACCAGAGGCUCAUACACCUCACCCCACAUAUGUUUCCUUGUCGUAGAUCACAUU
Molecule: long non-coding RNA, 4580 nt
Filed under: Zea mays
Lineage: Eukaryota; Viridiplantae; Streptophyta; Magnoliopsida; Poales; Poaceae
Description: long non-coding RNA (ZMAY_LNC005781)
Source: RNAcentral